Long non-coding RNA from Oncorhynchus masou masou (cherry salmon), 2808 nucleotides. RefSeq lists it as uncharacterized. The transcript has 3 exons. Lineage: Eukaryota; Metazoa; Chordata; Actinopteri; Salmoniformes; Salmonidae. The record is from RefSeq and is a predicted model, not a curated record.
AUUGACGGGCCUGCACAUGCGCAGUUUGGCGCGAUAGACCGUUACACCCGAUAACGUGUUUCUGCGCAGGAGCUUAGCAAGCCAACAUCACCAUAAUAUCGCCUACAAGCGUGAAUAGUCAUUGCGUGAAGGGUUUUGUCCCAGCCCAGCUCUAGGUUAACUGAUACCAAUGCGGCCGCUGCUAAGAAGCACGGAGUAGCUAUGGACCAGAAGACUGCAGCCAAGGCAGCACUGGUCCACACCUGCCUUGUCUGUUGGAGUAAAUACAAACCCGAAGACGUUCAAGCAGCACUCUGAGAGCAAGCAUCCCAAGUCUCCAAUGGUCCCAGUACUGGUUGAUGUGUGGGCCUAAGUGACCACACACACUGAAAUGGACCUACACCCGGGGUAAGACUCUUCCAUCAUUCACACACAGUAGACAUAGUAUAAACCACGAGGUUGUCAACAAAAUUAUGUCCUCAAUGCUUAAGUUGAAUUGUGUGUGGCUCAAUUGGUGGAAAUCACGUGAUCACUCAUCGUCUUUGUUAUGACUGACCAUGAGAAUCUAAAUCGGUCAGAUCAUGUUUGCAAUGAAUAACUUCAAUCAGUCCCUCUCUCCCCAAUAGAGGGGGAUGGAAAGAACUAGUGGGGAUUAACAACUCACAUCCUGUUGUAAAUCAAGGGAGAAGAUCCAUGCCUGUGCUCUCAAAAUUCACCAAAGGAAUGUGCUUUGUCUCAACAGACUUGUUCCCGCUGAAACUCUUAACACUUUCAAAAGCGAAUACUGGACAAUAUUUCUAACGUAGAAUGUGGGGAAUGGUCAGAGGCGAUCUACAGAACACUAAUGUCGUUUUGUAUGCUAUUUUGUGAUGUCAUUAAAAAUGUUAUAAAGGAAAUUCUGGAACUUGGAAAGUAUACCCACUACAUGGAUGAAGUUUCCAUACUAUGGGUUGUGCAUGUAAUAUGGAAAAUUAUGAACGUGUUUUUGUUAAGAGAGGGAUGUGAUAAUAGAGAAUUGUUUCCAUAACUUUGCACACCGCCCCGGAGUGACGUCAUGGAGCAUGCCAGCCUGCCAAAACCGCCAGUUUCAUGCAAAAGUUAUAAAUGAUGGGUUAUGAAUUAACACAUGGGACCAGAAAAGUGUGAAGCUGCAGCUGCGUGUUUAAAAUGGUUUGAACUUUGAAUCUCAAGUCGAGGUGGAGACGAUAAACUCACCUCCCAGAAAAUCACUGGUAUGGCUGAUUGGCUGUCCUAAGUAAAGUAUCUUCAAAAGCGAAUUUAAGUAGGACCAACCUGUUACUCUACUCAAACCAUCGUAUUACGCAACUCUCAUCACCUCACUGGGGAACCAUAGAUACGGCUGGCUAGCCUAUCUUCAAAGAAGCUUCUUCACAGACAGUUUUCCCGACUAUAAAUCCUAACUAUCAACACGAGGAGGAAGAGGCGAGAAGCUCACCUCAGACAAUCACUGGAACAACUGAUUAGCUGUCCUAAGUCAGAUAUCAAGAAAAGCGAAUCUAUGUGAGAUUAUUCUACUACGCUCAUCACCAAUGGGAAUCUUGCUCAUCACCAAAACUAUCUUCCAGAGUGAAGAACAUUAGAAGAGACGGAUCCGGACCAUUUCAGACUUGCAAGCGUGCUGCUGAAAGGCCAACCCACAUCCUUCCUAAGAAGGCCUGGUUCCGACAGAGAUAAAUGGCGAACAAAGGCACCCACACGUAAAUACAUUAAUGAUUUCAUAUUCCAAAUGGGUGGCGGUUCGUAUGCAAAAUAUAUGAUUAAUAUGAGAAUAGUUCUAAAAUGUAUCCAUGAUGAGUGUCCCUUUUUCUCUCUCUCUCGCCUCCCUACCCCACUUUGUUCAUUGUUUAUAAGCCGCCAUAUUUUGUCAGUCCACUAGGGACCUUUAUCUCAUGUAAAGGGUGUAUUUUUAGUCUGUGUUAUUAUUUAGUUAGCUAGUACAUAAAUAAUUUAACCAAUUUGUGUAGUACUUAAUCGUAAGAUUUUGGUUUUUGCAGAUUCAAGGAGGUUACGACUGUUCAGAAUGAUAUGAUACGAGGUUAUGAUGAAUAAGUUGACUGUUUAUAGAUGUGAUAGGUAAAGACCUGUUAGAGUUUAAUUCAGGAGAUGGUCACUCUUUAAAGAACCGCUCUCGUGGUGCCCCAGAUCCUAAUGAGUUAUGUUUUACAUUAUUCAUUUAAUCGGGUAACAAUUAAACAUAGUUAAUUAGAUAAAUAAUAGUCUUCAGAUUAAUGUUAAAGUCAAAUCACGAUAACUUUAAUGUUAUGAUUCACAGACACUCGAUGUUCACAAUUUGAAUGACGUUGAGGGACACGCUGAGACCUUGAGUAUGACUGGACAUGGGCCGGAUAUUUGUGACAAUGACUUAGGUGUGCAGAAACACACCAGUACCAUGACAAGCAAGUUAAAUGUUUACUCCAUUGCCAACCAUUCCUCUAGAUACCCCUUAUUCCACACUGCCUUUUAUGCCCCGUGGUCCUUCAACUUUGAACAUUUUGGAACUCUCCAUCUUAUCUCUAUAAACCCACCCUACCUUCACCCAUUUUCCCUAUGCUGCUUCCAUAACUUAUUCUUCUCCUGAUUUGAUCAAAUCUAGACUAAGUAACAUGUUUAAAAGUGGCCAGCAGAGAUAGGUGGGAUGGGCUGAGGGUUGGGAUGUGGAAUUGGAAACAAGUGGGAGUGGAGUUGCUGGGCGUGGGAUAGAAUGGUGGUCAAAGAUAAAAGUAUAAAAAGUCAAAAUAAAACAACCAUAAAGUAAGUUUGAAUGACACUGUUUCUCCUUCUGUCUUUCUCUUAUUUCUCUUUUGUUCU